Molecule: long non-coding RNA, 1336 nt
Filed under: Hordeum vulgare
Lineage: Eukaryota; Viridiplantae; Streptophyta; Magnoliopsida; Poales; Poaceae
Description: long non-coding RNA (HVUL_LNC001902)
Source: RNAcentral
GAGAAUGAUAUAAAAUUACAGAGUAAUACAACUAAAAUUUACAGUCAAAUUACAAUGAAAAACUAGGGAUUACAGUGUAAAUCUCAGUCAAAUACAAAGUAAAUCUGAGGUAAAUUCCAAUGUAAGUCUCGGUCAAAUUACAGUGUAAUAUCUGGGACAUAUUACAGUGCAAAUCUAGGGAAUUACAAUGUAUAACCAAGUCAAAUUACAUAGUAAAUCUGAGACAAACUUAUUCUAAAUCUCGGUUAAAUUACAGUGUAAUAUCUGGGGCAUAUUACAGUGCAAAUAUGGGGAAUUAUAGUAUAAAACUCAGUCAACUUACAUAGUAAAUCUAGGCAAAUUCCAGUAUAAAUCUCGACCAAAUCACAGUGUAAUAUCUGGACAUAUUACAGUGCAAGUCUAGGGGAUUACAAUGUAAAUUUUGGUCAAAUUACAGAGUAAAAGUAGCUAAAAUAUACAUAGAAAACCUAAGGCAUAUUACAGUGUGAAAUGUAGGGGAUUGGAUUAUAAAUUUUGGUCAAAUUACCGAGUAAAAGAAGCUAAAAUGUACAUAGUAAAUCUGGGGCAUAUUACAGUGUAAAUCUAGGGGAUUAGAGUGCAAAUCUCGGGUAAAUACAGCAUAAAAGAAGCUCGAAUUCACAAAGAAACUCUGGGCAUAUUAUCGUGUAAAUAUAGAGGAUUACGGUGCAAACCUGAGUCAAGUUAGAAUGUAAAAGAAGCUCCAAUUUACAGAGAAACUCGAGGCAUAUCUGCACAUACUAGUAAUAUACACUGCCUACCUGAUAUUUGCAGAUUAAGAAGGCUACACUGGAUAUAUUACACCACAAAAUCUAACACUAACAUUCAGAACAAAUCACAGUGCUAUUAGACAUGGAAUUACAAAGUAAAUACCCAGGAAUUACAAUGAUAAUGCACAGAGAAAUACAUGGGAUUACCCUCAGACUACACUGCUCAAUCUGCAAAAAACUCAUACGGAAAUAAGCACUGAAAAAGUUCUAAUAGAGGGAAACAAUUAAUACUACCAAAAUACAAACAACUACAAAAAUAUAGAGAACUGCCAUGAACCAACCAGCCGAAGCAAAUAUAGAGCUACCUAUUCAGCAGAAAUCACUGAACCCUAACCACAAAAACAACCCUCUCAAGACACCUACCACCGAGUACAUUUCAUGGGAUCAAAACAUGGAUAUCUGAUACCAAAUAGCGGAACCACAACCCAGAACAACAUACCAAUUCAUACAUCUACAAAAAGAGCAGAGGGGGAACCAGCGGAAUCUGCACAGACCUCAAAGUAGAACCAAUAGCUGCAUCUACAAGGGCUGACAAAAUCCACAACAAC